This 450-nucleotide ribosomal RNA is filed under the name uncultured bacterium. RNAcentral's name for it is "partial 16S ribosomal RNA". It matches the Rfam family "Bacterial small subunit ribosomal RNA", at positions 354 to 796 of the family's 1533-position model. The record is from RNAcentral.
GUGGGGAAUUUUGGACAAUGGGCGCAAGCCUGAUCCAGCAAUGCCGCGUGCAGGAAGAAGGCCUUCGGGUUGUAAACUGCUUUUGUACGGAACGAAACGGUCCUGGUUAAUACCUGGGGCUAAUGACGGUACCGUAAGAAUAAGCACCGGCUAACUACGUGCCAGCAGCCGCGGUAAUACGUAGGGUGCGAGCGUUAAUCGGAAUUACUGGGCGUAAAGCGUGCGCAGGCGGUACUGUAAGACAGGCGUGAAAUCCCCGGGCUCAACCUGGGAAUUGCGCAUGUGACUGCAGUGCAGGAGUACGGCAGAGGGGGAUGGAAUUCCGCGUGUAGCAGUGAAAUGCGUAGAUAUGCGGAGGAACACCGAUGGCGAAGGCAGUCCCCUGGGCCUGUACUGACGCUCAUGCACGAAAGCGUGGGGAGCAAACAGGAUUAGAUACCCUGGUAGUCC